Molecule: ribosomal RNA, 449 nt
Filed under: uncultured prokaryote
Description: bacterial SSU rRNA
Rfam family: Bacterial small subunit ribosomal RNA
Source: RNAcentral
UGGGGAAUUUUGCGCAAUGGGCGAAAGCCUGACGCAGCGACGCCGCGUGUACGAUGAAGGCCUUUGGGUCGUAAAGUACUGUCAACGGGGACGAACGCCUCAGAUUGAAUAGGUCUGAGGUCUGACGGUACCCGUGGAGGAAGCACCGGCUAACUCUGUGCCAGCAGCCGCGGUAAUACGGAGGGGGCAAGCGUUGUUCGGAUUUACUGGGCGUAAAGGGCGCGUAGGCGGGGUAUCCAGUUAGGGGUGAAAGCCCGGGGCUCAACCUCGGAACUGCCUUUAAAACUGAUACUCUAGAGUCCGGAAGAGGGUCGCGGAAUUCCCAGUGUAGAGGUGAAAUUCGUAGAUAUUGGGAAGAACACCGGUGGCGAAGGCGGCGACCUGGUCCGGUACUGACGCUGAGGCGCGAAAGCGUGGGGAGCAAACAGGAUUAGAUACCCCCGUAGUCC